RNAcentral lists this ribosomal RNA (435 nucleotides) under uncultured bacterium. RNAcentral's name for it is "partial 16S ribosomal RNA". It matches the Rfam family "Bacterial small subunit ribosomal RNA", at positions 28 to 507 of the family's 1533-position model. The record is from RNAcentral.
GAUGAACGCUGGCGGUAUGCUUAACACAUGCAAGUCGAACGGACUCUUCGGAGUUAGUGGCGGACGGGUGAGUAACGCGUGAGAAUCUGGCUUUGGGUUCGGGACAACCACUGGAAACGGUGGCUAAUACCGGAUGUGCCGAGAGGUAAAAGAGAAAUUGCCUGAAGAUGAGCUCGCGUCUGAUUAGCUAGUUGGUGAGGUAAAGGCUCACCAAGGCAGCGAUCAGUAGCUGGUCUGAGGGGAUGACCAGCCACACUGGGACUGAGACACGGCCCAGACUCCUACGGGAGGCAGCAGUGGGGAAUUUUCCGCAAUGGGCGAAAGCCUGACGGAGCAAUACCGCGUGAGGGAAGAAGGCUCUUGGGGUGUAAACCUCUUUUCUUAGGGAAGAACAAAAUGACGGUACCUAAGGAAUCAGCAUCGGCUAACUCCGUG